This 433-nucleotide ribosomal RNA is filed under the name uncultured bacterium. RNAcentral's name for it is "partial 16S ribosomal RNA". It matches the Rfam family "Bacterial small subunit ribosomal RNA", at positions 29 to 507 of the family's 1533-position model. The record is from RNAcentral.
AACGAACGCUGGCGGCAUGCCUAACACAUGCAAGUCGAACUAGACCUUCGGGUCUAGUGGCGCACGGGUGCGUAACGCGUGGGAACCUGCCCUUAGGUUCGGAAUAACUCCCCGAAAGGGGUGCUAAUACCGGAUAAUGUCUUCGGACCAAAGAUUUAUCGCCUUUGGAUGGGCCCGCGUUGGAUUAGCUAGUUGGUAGGGUAAAAGCCUACCAAGGCGACGAUCCAUAGCUGGUCUGAGAGGAUGAUCAGCCACACUGGGACUGAGACACGGCCCAGACUCCUACGGGAGGCAGCAGUGGGGAAUAUUGAACAAUGGGCGAAAGCCUGAUCCAGCAAUGCCGCGUGAGUGAUGAAGGCCGUAGGGUUGUAAAGCUCUUUUACCCGGGAUGAUAAUGACAGUACCGGGAGAAUAAGCGCCGGCUAACUCCGUG